CCUACGGGAGGCAGCAGUGGGGAAUCUUGCGCAAUGGGCGAAAGCCUGACGCAGCCAUGCCGCGUGAAUGAUGAAGGUCUUAGGAUUGUAAAAAUUCUUUCACCGGGGACGAUAAUGACGGUACCCGGAGAAGAAGCCCCGGCUAACUUCGUGCCAGCAGCCGCGGUAAUACGAAGGGGGCUAGCGUUGCUCGGAAUUACUGGGCGUAAAGGGAGCGUAGGCGGAUAGUUUAGUCAGAGGUGAAAGCCCAGGGCUCAACCUUGGAAUUGCCUUUGAUACUGGCUAUCUUGAGUAUGGGAGAGGUUAGCGGAACUCCGAGUGUAGAGGUGAAAUUCGUAGAUAUUCGGAAGAACACCAGUGGCGAAGGCGGCUAACUGGCCCAUUACUGACGCUGAGGCUCGAAAGCGUGGGGAGCAAACAGGAUUAGAUACCCUGGUAGUCCACGCCGUAAACGAUGAGUGCUAGUUGUCGGCAUGCAUGCAUGUCGGUGGACGCAGCUAACGACAUUAAGACACUCCGCCGUCGGGGAGGUACGGUCGGCGAAGAAGUUAAACUAACUAAAUAGUUAAGUUAGUACGGCGUUGUAGACGUUGCCGACGGACGACCGACCGAGGGGAGGUUAGG
RNAcentral lists this ribosomal RNA (624 nucleotides) under uncultured bacterium. Its description in RNAcentral is "bacterial SSU rRNA". The stretch from base 1 to 521 matches the Rfam family "Bacterial small subunit ribosomal RNA", at positions 338 to 873 of the family's 1533-position model. The record is from RNAcentral.